GAUGAAGAACGUAGCGAAAUGCGAUAAGUAAUGUGAAUUGCAGAAUUCAGUGAAUCAUCGAAUCUUUGAACGCGCAUUGCGCCCUAUGGUAUUCCGUAGGGCAUGCCUGUUCGAGCGUCAUUACAACCCUCAAGCUCUGCUUGGUAUUGGGCGUCGUCCCCUAAACGGACGUGCCUCAAAGACCUCGGCGGUGGCGUCUUUGCCUCAAGCGUAGUAAUAUUUUUAUCUCGCUUUGGAGUCGAAGGCGUCGCCCGCCGGACGAAACCUUUAUUUUUUCUAUCAAGGUUGACCUCGGAUCAGGUAGGGAUACCCGCUGAACUUAAGCAUAUCAAUAAGCGGAGGA
This 343-nucleotide unclassified non-coding RNA is filed under the name soil metagenome. RNAcentral describes it as "partial contains 5.8S ribosomal RNA, internal transcribed spacer 2, and large subunit ribosomal RNA". The stretch from base 1 to 120 matches the Rfam family "5.8S ribosomal RNA", at positions 35 to 154 of the family's 154-position model. The record is from RNAcentral.